AUUGAACGCUGGCGGCAUGCCUUACACAUGCAAGUCGAACGGUAACAGGUCUUCGGAUGCUGACGAGUGGCGAACGGGUGAGUAAUACAUCGGAGCGUGCCUAGUAGUGGGGGGUAACUACUCGAAAGAGUGGCUAAUACCGCAUGAGAUCUACGGAUGAAAGCAGGGGAUCGUAAGACCUUGUGCUUCUAGAGCGGCCGAUGGCAGAUUAGGUAGUUGGUGGGAUAAAAGCUUACCAAGCCGACGAUCUGUAGCUGGUCUGAGAGGACGAUCAGCAACACUGGGACUGAGACACGGCCCAGACUCCUACGGGAGGCAGCAGUGGGGAAUUUUGGACAAUGGGCGAAAGCCUGAUCCAGCAAUGCCGCGUGCAGGAUGAAGGCCUUCGGGUUGUAAACUGCUUUUGUACGGAACGAAAAGCCCCGGGUUAAUACCCUGGGGUCAUGACGGUACCGUAAGAAUAAGCACCGGCUAACUACGUGCCAGCCGCCGCAGUAA
This 498-nucleotide ribosomal RNA is filed under the name uncultured bacterium. RNAcentral describes it as "partial 16S ribosomal RNA". It matches the Rfam family "Bacterial small subunit ribosomal RNA", at positions 30 to 523 of the family's 1533-position model. The record is from RNAcentral.